GGCAACUUGGCGCAGUUGGCUAGCGCAUCUGUCUAACAAGUUGCCUCUCCAGGCAGGUCCUUUGUACACAGAAGGUCGCAAGUUCGAGCCUUGCAGUUGUCA
Transfer RNA from Calocera cornea HHB12733, 102 nucleotides. It matches the Rfam family "tRNA". Rfam says of the family: Transfer RNA (tRNA) molecules are approximately 80 nucleotides in length. Their secondary structure includes four short double-helical elements and three loops (D, anti-codon, and T loops). Lineage: Eukaryota; Fungi; Basidiomycota; Dacrymycetes; Dacrymycetales; Dacrymycetaceae. The record is from Rfam.